Molecule: long non-coding RNA, 859 nt
Organism: Acanthochromis polyacanthus (spiny chromis)
Lineage: Eukaryota; Metazoa; Chordata; Actinopteri; Pomacentridae
Exons: 2
Source: RefSeq, a predicted model, not a curated record
UUAAACAUUUUUCAUAGACACACACACACACACACACCCACACACACACACAGACCUAGCUAAUAGAUGUAGCUAACAGACCCAGCUAACGGACGAAGCUAACACACCUAGCUCGCACACUUACUGACGGAGCUAACACGCGCACACGAGCACACACAUAUAUACACACCUAGCUAACAGUAGCUAACGGACAUAGCUAACACACACACAGAGAGAGAGCGAGAGACACGCACGCUCUAACGCCCACGGUUUACUGUACUGUAAAAACGACAGAAACGUUUUAAGGGGACUCUAACCACUAGUGGGAAACAUGCAGGGACUGAUGUCGUGUCAAGAAGUGUGUGAAACGGAUGAUGUUCUGGCGGUAGCAGCAGUGGACCGGUUGGACAGGAUCAUUCUGGCUGUUUCUGGAGUUAGUCAGCUCCAUGUUAACACCUGACACACCUCUUUAAGGUGGUCUUUUUUUUCUACAACUAAUAACAAUCAGAAUUUUUACAAUUAUUGCUUAUGUUGUGCUGGUACUUUUAGAGGAAAUGCCAAAGUCGGUUAUUUCUGACCAGUGAAGCCACUGAGGCUGGUGAGCAGCCUCUGCAUCUGGACAAAGACAAGAGCAUCCUCCCACUACACUAAUGAAACUCCACCUUGGACCCAGCACAUCUCAGGGUGUAGUCAGCAGCCUGAUAUUUGAAUGUUUGGUUUUGGUUGGCUGAGCUAUGGAGUCACAGGAGUGCCAAAUCAAAAUAUAAAUAAAUAAAUGUGGAAAUAUAAAGAGAAAUAAAUAAAUAAAUGUGGAAAAAUAAAGAGAAAUAAAUAAAUAAAUGUGGAAAAAUAAAGAGAAAUAAAUAAAUAAAUAAAUAAA